RNAcentral lists this ribosomal RNA (381 nucleotides) under uncultured eukaryote. Its description in RNAcentral is "partial 18S ribosomal RNA". It matches the Rfam family "Eukaryotic small subunit ribosomal RNA", at positions 592 to 975 of the family's 1831-position model. The record is from RNAcentral.
UAAUAGCGUAUAUUAAAGUUGUUGCAGUUAAAAAGCUCGUAGUUGGAUUUCUGGUUGAAGCGACCGGUCGGGCGUUGAUUCGUCUGCACUGGAGUCGGUUUUGGCCAUCCUCUAGGAAAGUGCGUCUGGUAUUAAGUUAUCGGGCGUAUGAUCCUGGUCUUUUACUGUGAAAAAAUUAGAGUGUUUAAAGCAGGCCUUCGCCUUGAAUACAUUAGCAUGGAAUAAUAAGAUAGGACUUUGGUCUAUUUUGUUGGUUUGCAGACCGAAGUAAUGAUUAAUAGGGAUAGUUGGGGGUAUUUAUAUUCCGAUGUCAGAGGUGAAAUUCUUAGAUUUUCGGAAGAUAAACUUAUGCGAAAGCAUUUACCAAGGAUGUUUNCAUUA